UAACUUAGGGAGAAGGGGUGCCUACGAGAGUAGGCCGCAGUGAAUAGGCUCAAGCAACUGUUUAUCAAAAACACAGGUCUCUGCUAAAGCGUAAGCUGAUGUAUAGGGGCUGACGCCUGCCCGGUGCUGGAAGGUUAAGGGGAAUAGUUAGCGCAAGCGAAGCUAUGAACUUAAGCCCCAGUAAACGGCGGCCGUAACUAUAACGGUCCUAAGGUAGCGAAAUUCCUUGUCGGGUAAGUUCCGACCCGCACGAAUGGCGUAAUGAUUUGAGCACUGUCUCGGCAAUAAAUCCGGUGAAAUUGUAGUGCAAGUGAAGAUGCUUGCUACCCGCGGUUGGACGGAAAGACCCCGUAGAGCUUUACUGUAGCUUAGCAUUGAAUUUCGGUAUUGUCUGUACAGGAUAGGUGGGAGACUUAGAAGCGAGGGCGUCAGCUUUCGUGGAGUCGUCCUUGGGAUACCACCCUGACAGUACUGGAAUUCUAACUGGAGGCCAUGAAUCUGGUCACAGGACAUUGCUAGGUGGGCAGUUUGACUGGGGCGGUCGCCUCCUAAAAGGUAACGGAGGCGCCCAAAGGUUCCCUCAGCGCGGGCGGAAAUCGCGCGUAGAGUGCAAAGGCAGAAGGGAGCCUGACUGCGACACAUACAGGUGGAGCAGGGACGAAAGUCG
RNAcentral lists this ribosomal RNA (667 nucleotides) under Clostridium botulinum C/D. RNAcentral's name for it is "partial 23S ribosomal RNA". It matches the Rfam family "Bacterial large subunit ribosomal RNA", at positions 1731 to 2408 of the family's 2925-position model. The record is from RNAcentral. Lineage: Bacteria; Bacillati; Bacillota; Clostridia; Eubacteriales; Clostridiaceae.